CCUACGGGGGGCUGCAGUGGGGAAUAUUGGACAAUGGGGGGAACCCUGAUCCAACCAUGCCGCGUGUGUGAAGAAGGCCCUCGGGUUGUAAAGCACUUUCAGUGAGGAAGAACGCCUGGUGGUUAAUACCCAUCAGGAAAGACAUCACUCACAGAAGAAGCACCGGCUAACUCCGUGCCAGCAGCCGCGGUAAUACGGAGGGUGCGAGCGUUAAUCGGAAUUACUGGGCGUAAAGCGCGCGUAGGUGGCUUGAUAAGCCGGUUGUGAAAGCCCCGGGCUCAACCUGGGAACGGCAUCCGGAACUGUCAAGCUAGAGUGCAGGAGAGGAAGGUAGAAUUCCCGGUGUAGCGGUGAAAUGCGUAGAGAUCGGGAGGAAUACCAGUGGCGAAGGCGGCCUUCUGGACUGACACUGACACUGAGGUGCGAAAGCGUGGGUAGCAAACAGGAUUAGAUACCCUUGUAGUC
RNAcentral lists this ribosomal RNA (465 nucleotides) under Vreelandella stevensii. RNAcentral's name for it is "partial 16S ribosomal RNA". It matches the Rfam family "Bacterial small subunit ribosomal RNA", at positions 338 to 795 of the family's 1533-position model. Lineage: Bacteria; Pseudomonadati; Pseudomonadota; Gammaproteobacteria; Oceanospirillales; Halomonadaceae. The record is from RNAcentral.